RNAcentral lists this ribosomal RNA (429 nucleotides) under Fusobacteriota bacterium. RNAcentral describes it as "Fusobacteria bacterium partial 16S ribosomal RNA". It matches the Rfam family "Bacterial small subunit ribosomal RNA", at positions 355 to 776 of the family's 1533-position model. Lineage: Bacteria; Fusobacteriati; Fusobacteriota. The record is from RNAcentral.
UGGGGAAUAUUGCGCAAUGGGCGAAAGCCUGACGCAGCGACGCCGCGUGAGGGAUGAAGGUUUUCGGAUCGUAAACCUCUGUCAGAAGGGAAGAAACCGCACUGUGCUAAUCAGCAGUGCCUUGACGGUACCUUCAAAGGAAGCACCGGCUAACUCCGUGCCAGCAGCCGCGGUAAUACGGAGGGUUCAAGCGUUAAUCGGAAUUACUGGGCGUAAAGCGCACGUAGGCUGCUUUGUAAGUCAGGGGUGAAAUCCCACGGCUCAACCGUGGAACUGCCUUUGAUACUGCUUAGCUUGAAUCCGGGAGAGGGUGGCGGAAUUCCAGGUGUAGGAGUGAAAUCCGUAGAUAGCUGGAGGAACAUCAGUGGCGAAGGCGGCCACCUGGACCGGUAUUGACGCUGAGGUGCGAAAGCGUGGGGAGCAAACAGG